AAGUCGUAACAAGGUUUCCGUAGGUGAACCUGCGGAAGGAUCAUUACAAAUCCACGUCUCUCUCUUUCGAGACCCGUUGAAAUGUUGAGGAGAAGAGAUGAGAGAAACACCAUACUACGUGUAAUGUGUGUGUCUCGCUUCUUCUCUCUACCCUUUUACUUUAUUAUAUUCGUUGAUCAGUUUUAUCACAUUAAACUUACACAACUUAUAACAAUGGAUCUCUAGGCUCUU
Molecule: unclassified non-coding RNA, 231 nt
Filed under: fungal sp.
Lineage: Eukaryota; Fungi
Description: partial internal transcribed spacer region
Rfam family: Eukaryotic small subunit ribosomal RNA (bases 1-46)
Source: RNAcentral